Molecule: long non-coding RNA, 446 nt
Organism: Haliotis rubra (blacklip abalone)
Lineage: Eukaryota; Metazoa; Mollusca; Gastropoda; Lepetellida; Haliotidae
Exons: 3
Source: RefSeq, a predicted model, not a curated record
CGUAGUUUCAUAACUGGAGUGCACAAGAAGGCUGUAUGCCUUGCUGCUGGACAAGGAAAGGUUCCAGAUAACAGUCUUUGGAAACAGUGUCAUGGAUGCACAGUGGCAAAAUGGAAACUGUGCUGAUCUUUGGAACCACAUAGGGCCACAGAGCUGGAGUGGAGACAACCCAGCCGGCACCGACCACAACCACAAGAGCCAGCAAGGUAAGCUGCAAAUAUAUUGAAGAGUAAAACAUUUAACUUCUCAGCUGAUUUCAUAAUUCUCUACUGAAAGUAUCUUAAGUUAGCUAUUCUAAAUAUGAAAAGGGAAAGUGAUUGUCAUUGAGUCAGCCAUCAAAGAAUACAUUUACUUGACUGUAUUUUUUACAAAAAUAAUAACUGUUUUUUUAAAGAAUCACAGACUGCCCUACAGAUGAUGUAUGUUCCUUCAACAUGUUAACUUGG